UACGUAGGGGCCAAGCGUUGUCCGGAUUUAUUGGGCGUAAAGAGCUCGUAGGCGGUUCGGCAAGUCAGCUGUGAAAUCUCCACGCUCAACGUGGAGGGGUCAGCUGAUACUGCUGUGACUCGAGUCCGGUAGGGGAGUGUGGAAUUCCCGGUGUAGCGGUGAAAUGCGUAGAGAUCGGGAGGAACACCAGAGGCGAAGGCGGCGACCUGGACAGAUACUGACACUCAACUACGAAAGCGUGGGUAGCAAACAGG
RNAcentral lists this ribosomal RNA (254 nucleotides) under uncultured bacterium. Its description in RNAcentral is "partial 16S ribosomal RNA". It matches the Rfam family "Bacterial small subunit ribosomal RNA", at positions 524 to 776 of the family's 1533-position model. The record is from RNAcentral.